GGUUGCCUGCCCUGUUUCCUAUAUAAGUCUGAGGAAGGCAGGGCCAUCAGGCACCAGAAGGAUUUUGCCAGCAUAGUGCUCCUGGACCAGCGAUACGCCCGGCCCCCUGUCCUGGCCAAGCUGCCGGCCUGGAUCCGAGCCCGCGUGGAGGUCAAAGCUACCUUUGGCCCCGCCAUUGCUGCUGUGCAGAAGGUCAGUCCUACCUUUUUCUUUCUGAGAGCCUCCCAACCCCGAGAUCACAUUUCUCACUGCCUUCUGUCUGCCCAGUUUCACCGGGAGAAGUCGGCCUCUUCCUGAUGGGCAACCACACCACCGCCCGGCGCCGUGCCCUUCCUUUGUCCUGCCCUCUGGAGACAGUGUUUGUCGUGGGCGUGGUCUGCAGGGAUCCUGUUACAAAGGUGAAACCCAGGAGGAGAGUGUGGAGUCCAGAGCGCUGCCAGGACCCAGGCACAGGCGUUAGCUCCCGUAGGAGAAAAUGCGGGAAUCCUGAAUGAACAGUGGGUCCUGGCUGUCCUUGGGGCGUUCCAGGGCAGCUCCCCUCCUGGAAUAGAAUCUUUCUUUCCAUCCUGCAUGGCUGAGAGCCAGGCCUCCCGCUUGGUCUCCACAGGAGGCUGUGGCAGCUGUGGCAUCCACUGUGGCAUCUCCGUCCUGCCCACCUUCUUAAGAGGCGAGAUGGAGCAGGCCCAUCUGCCUCUGCCCUUUCUAGCCAAGGUUAUAGCUGCCCUGGACUGCUCACUCUCUGGUCUUAAUUUAAAAUGAUCCCAUGGCCACAGGGCUCCUGCCCAGGGGCUUGUCACCUUCCCCUCCUCCUUCCUGAGUCACUCCUUCAGUAGAAGGCCCUGCUCUCUAUCCUGCCCCAUAGCCCUGCCUGGAUUUGUAUCCUUGGCUUCGUGCCAGUUCCUCCAAGUCUAUGGCACCUCCCUCCCUCUCAACCACUUGAGCAAACUCCAAGACACCUUCUACCCCGACACCAGCAAUUAUGCCAAGGGCCAUUAGGCUCUCAACAUGACUAUAGAGACCCCGUAUCAUCAUGGAGACCUUUGUUCCUGUGGGAAAAUAUCCCUCCCACCUGCAACAGCUGCCCCUGCUGACUGCGCCUGUCUUCUCCCUCUGACCCCAGAGAAAGGGGCCGUGGUCAGCUGGGAUCUUCUGCCACCAUCAGGGACAAACCGGGGGCAGGAGGAAAGUCACUGAUGCCCAGCUGUUUGCAUCCU
Molecule: long non-coding RNA, 1214 nt
Filed under: Homo sapiens (human)
Lineage: Eukaryota; Metazoa; Chordata; Mammalia; Primates; Hominidae
Description: HSALNT0185428
Source: RNAcentral